Non-coding RNA from Vicia faba (fava bean), 231 nucleotides. The record is from the annotation of a GenBank genome assembly. NCBI's taxonomy places the organism in Eukaryota, Viridiplantae, Streptophyta, Magnoliopsida, Fabales, Fabaceae.
AUGGUGGGACCAAGCCAAAACAUCAUCAAUGACAACAAUGAAGACAGGGACAGGUUAAGUGGUAAACCUCCAGUCUUUGAUGGAGAAAACUUUGACUACUGGAAAGACAGAAUUGAGAGUUUCUUUCUGGCCCAUGAUUCUGAUCUGUGGGACAUGGUGACUGAUGGAUAUACACAUCCUGUGGAUGGACGUGGUCAGAAGAUAUACAGGAAAAUGAUGUCUGAUCAGUAA